UUACAUAAACAUCCACAAGCAAAAAAAAUUAAACUUUCUAGAUAACCUGUUUGUUCUGGAUACACAAAAAUAGUCUCACAUCGCUUGGUAAUCGAUGCUAAGGAGUGUUUAUGUACAACAUCCACAUCUUUCAAAUCACCGAGACGCUUUUUCUAGAAAUGACAAAAUCGUGACGGGGUAACCCCAAAGCGGACAAUCUCUCGAAAAUGUAGACUUGAAGUCGGAUUGAAACACCGUCAUUAAUAAACUGCCAAACAAAAAUAGACACUCCACUCAUCAGAAAAAUCAACCUGCAACACAACAUUAGAUACAAUAGUAUAACAAUCACCCUAUAAUUAUUCCUCCCAAACAAAAAAUCGUCUACGUCCGCUACCGCCACUCAUUCCCUCCUAACUCCUCUCGAGCCUAUUCAUAUGCACCAUAGUCACAUCCUUUUAUAUUCAAU
This 445-nucleotide long non-coding RNA is filed under the name Trifolium pratense (red clover). Its description in RNAcentral is "long non-coding RNA (TPRA_LNC001082)". Lineage: Eukaryota; Viridiplantae; Streptophyta; Magnoliopsida; Fabales; Fabaceae. The record is from RNAcentral.